Molecule: ribosomal RNA, 247 nt
Filed under: uncultured bacterium
Lineage: Bacteria
Description: partial 16S ribosomal RNA
Rfam family: Bacterial small subunit ribosomal RNA
Source: RNAcentral
GGGGGCGAGCGUUGUUCGGAUUUACUGGGCGUAAAGGGCGCGCAGGCGGCUCAUUUUGUCAGGCGUGAAAGCCCCGGGCUUAACCUGGGAACUGCGUUUGAUACGGAUGGGCUAGAGUUCGGGAGAGGAGAGUGGAAUUCCCAGUGUAGAGGUGAAAUUCGUAGAUAUUGGGAAGAACACCGGUGGCGAAGGCGGCUCUCUGGACCGAGACUGACGCUGAGGCGCGAAAGCGUGGGGAGCAAACAGG